Molecule: non-coding RNA, 27 nt
Filed under: Cricetulus griseus (Chinese hamster)
Lineage: Eukaryota; Metazoa; Chordata; Mammalia; Rodentia; Cricetidae
Source: RNAcentral
AAACUGGACUGCUUUGUAUAGAAUACU